This 468-nucleotide ribosomal RNA is filed under the name uncultured bacterium. RNAcentral describes it as "partial 16S ribosomal RNA". It matches the Rfam family "Bacterial small subunit ribosomal RNA", at positions 28 to 507 of the family's 1533-position model. The record is from RNAcentral.
GACGAACGCUGGCGGCGUGCUUAACACAUGCAAGUCGAACGGAAAGGCCCUGCUUUUGUGGGGUGCUCGAGUGGCGAACGGGUGAGUAACACGUGAGUAACCUACCCUUGACUUUGGGAUAACUUCAGGAAACUGGGGCUAAUACCGGAUAGGAGCUCCUGCUGCAUGGUGGGGGUUGGAAAGUUUCGGCGGUUGGGGAUGGACUCGCGGCUUAUCAGCUUGUUGGUGGGGUAGUGGCUUACCAAGGCUUUGACGGGUAGCCGGCCUGAGAGGGUGACCGGCCACAUUGGGACUGAGAUACGGCCCAGACUCCCACGGGAGGCAGCAGUGGGGAAUAUUGCACAAUGGGCGGAAGCCUGAUGCAGCAACGCCGCGUGCGGGAUGACGGCCUUCGGGUUGUAAACCGCUUUCGCCUGUGACGAAGCGUGAGUGACGGUAAUGGGUAAAGAAGCACCGGCUAACUACGUG